UACGGAGGAUCCAAGCGUUAUCCGGAUUUACUGGGUGUAAAGGGCGUGUAGGCGGGAUGGUAAGUCAGAUGUGAAAACUAUGGGCUCAACCCAUAGCCUGCAUUUGAAACUAUCGUUCUUGAGUGUUGGAGAGGCAGGCGGAAUUCCGUGUGUAGCGGUGAAAUGCGUAGAUAUACGGAGGAACACCAGUGGCGAAGGCGGCUCACUGGACUGUAACUGACGUUGAGGCUCGAAAGCGUGGGGAGCAAACAGG
This 253-nucleotide ribosomal RNA is filed under the name uncultured Oscillospira sp. RNAcentral's name for it is "partial 16S ribosomal RNA". It matches the Rfam family "Bacterial small subunit ribosomal RNA", at positions 524 to 776 of the family's 1533-position model. Lineage: Bacteria; Bacillati; Bacillota; Clostridia; Eubacteriales; Oscillospiraceae. The record is from RNAcentral.